GACGAACGCUGGCGGCGCGCCUAACACAUGCAAGUCGAACGGAGCUGCGAGAAUUUUGCUUUUCUUACCUUAGUGGCGAACGGGUGAGUAACGCGAGUGUAACCUGCCCUGGUGUGGGAGACAACAGUUGGAAACGACUGCUAACACCGCAUAAGCCCACGAUCCGGCAUCGGAUUGAGAGAAAAGGAUUUAUUCGGUUUAGGAUGGAGUCGCGUCCAAUUAGCUAGUUGGUGAGGUAACGGCCCACCAAGGCGACGAAUGCUAGCCGGACUGAGAGAUUGAACGGCUACAUUGGGACUGCGACACGGCCGAGAAUCGUAGGGGAGGGAGGAGAGGGUGAUAUAGCAAGAGGGGGGAAAACCUGAUGAAGCGGCGCCGGGUGGAGGAAGCAGGUUUUCGGAUUGUAAACUCGUGUGGUAAGAGACGAUAAUGACGGUACCUAAUAAGAAAGCACCGGCUAACUACGUG
This 468-nucleotide ribosomal RNA is filed under the name uncultured bacterium. RNAcentral describes it as "partial 16S ribosomal RNA". It matches the Rfam family "Bacterial small subunit ribosomal RNA", at positions 28 to 507 of the family's 1533-position model. The record is from RNAcentral.